GACGAACGCUGGCGGCGUGCUUAACACAUGCAAGUCGAACGGAAAGGCCCUGCUUUUGUGGGGUGCUCGAGUGGCGAACGGGUGAGUAACACGUGAGUAACCUGCCCUUGACUUUGGGAUAACUUCAGGAAACUGGGGCUAAUACCGGAUAGGAGCUCCUGCUGCAUGGUGGGGGUUGGAAAGUUUCGGCGGUUGGGGAUGGACUCGCGGCUUAUCAGCUUGUUGGUGGGGUAGUGGCUUACCAAGGCUUUGACGGGUAGCCGGCCUGAGAGGGUGACCGGCCACAUUGGGACUGAGAUACGGCCCAGACUCCUACGGGAGGCAGCAGUGGGGGAUAUUGCACAAUGGGCGGAAGCCUGAUGCAGCAACGCCGCGUGCGGGAUGACGGCCUUCGGGUUGUAAACCGCUUUCGCCUGUGACGAAGCGUGAGCGACGGUAAUGGGUAAAGAAGCACCGGCUAACUACGUG
This 468-nucleotide ribosomal RNA is filed under the name uncultured bacterium. RNAcentral's name for it is "partial 16S ribosomal RNA". It matches the Rfam family "Bacterial small subunit ribosomal RNA", at positions 28 to 507 of the family's 1533-position model. The record is from RNAcentral.